Molecule: long non-coding RNA, 936 nt
Organism: Trachemys scripta elegans
Lineage: Eukaryota; Metazoa; Chordata; Testudines; Emydidae
Exons: 4
Source: RefSeq, a predicted model, not a curated record
GUGUUUGGGAUUCAGCUGGAGCUGGUAGAGGUGGCGAUGUCAUCUGGGUCCCCCUCUCUGGCCUAAUCUGGUGAGGACAUUUCUCAGGACAAGGAUGAAGAUGGUCCGGGGUCCCAGGAGAUGGUGUGGAUUGCAGCCAUGAUGGUGAAGCUUGUCUAGUUUAAUCUAUUGAGAAGCGAAUAAAGGGUUAAACAGUUGUCCACCCACAAGAAUUCAAAGUCUAACACAAUAAAGUGACAUCAUUUCCCUUUGCUCUGGCAUGAAAGGAGUGGAUUUCAAAGUGAGGUGAUUCUAGACUAACGAAUCAGGAAGGCCAGACAGAAGGUCCCCUAAAUUGAUUGGCGCUCCCCUGAUUAAACAGGAAAUGUUGUGUGCUCAAGAUCUCUUAUUUUCCAGGUACCAUGACCUCCUUAGACACAGCAACGUAGAUUGACUUUCCUGGGCAGAAGGAGGGUGUUGGGGAAAACAGGUGUCCUACAAACAUCAGCUGUCAAGAAGUACUGGAUCCUGCCCAGGUUUGGCAUCAGUUCGGAAGAGAGAAACUUGCCCUUCCUCUUGGACAGAAGGAGCCAAAUUCGGUAAUACCUGGUGUAAACUGAACGAGAUGGACAGAGUUAUACCUUGGAUGAGCUUAUUCCAAGGUGCUUAGAUGCUGAUGAAUAUGUGCAUCACUUAGAAAAAAUCAAGGGAGAGGAAAAAUAACGAUCCCCGUACUAAAUCCCAAACCAAGAAACUCGGACAGGCUCAUCAUCAUCAUUGUGCUGUAACAAUAUGUUAAAAUUAUGUUCAAAUGGACAAACUCAUACUGAAGGCUGGGCAAUUAAGUAAGACAUGUCUUAGUAAAAACAAAUAUUCUAUACUGGUAUAACAAAAAACAAGGAAGAAAAAUGAAGAUAAAUAAAAUCAGCGCAUAAAUACUAUUCCGAAGUGGCUAUA